Molecule: RNA transcript, 2796 nt
Organism: Lytechinus pictus (painted urchin)
Lineage: Eukaryota; Metazoa; Echinodermata; Echinoidea; Temnopleuroida; Toxopneustidae
Exons: 5
Source: RefSeq, a predicted model, not a curated record
AAUUCAAUUCCGAGCUCGAAGAUGAAGGCCAAAUAGUUCAUAAAGUACGUGUCUCAAAAAUAUAUAUUUAGUAUGUUUAGGGUGUUGGCUUUUGACUUCAGAGAAGAUCACCACGUUAGAAUGUAUUGAUAAAUGUAUUGUGAUAUGAGCAUUUGAAUGUACUCUGAAAGAAAGACGAAUAUGCCUCCUUGAUAACAGCAACCAAAUGUUCGAUCAUCGAGUUUGACAAUAACAAUGGAUUGUUAUUAAACUCCAAUAUUCGAUAGUACUGGAACAUUCGAUGUCGAAAUGGAAGGACAUUAUUUUGUGUCUCUUAUGAUUAUGUUCGAAAUUUUAUCGACAGUUGAUGCUUUUUGCGAUGCGCCCUCCCCAGUAGCAGCUACCCAUCACAAUGGCACUCUAGCAGUCUAUAAGACUGGAGAUACCCUCUACUUCACCUGCAACUCUGGUUAUUCUACAAACUAUCAGCCACCUUCAUCAACAUGUCUAGCCAGUGGCAUUUGGAAUCCACCUGAUUUAGCUUGCGAACUAAAUACGACAUCACUUAUCAUCUCCAUUAUAGUAGCCGUCAUCACCCUCUUCGUUUUCUUGAUUAUAGUCAUAUAUAUCUUCAGAAGAAAGCGAAGCCAAACGCAUGUUUCAUCUCCGAAGAUAAUCAGAAGAAGUCCACAGUUUCCGGAAUAUCCACCUGGAAACAUCGAAAUGUCCAGACCAGGAUCGUUAUACGACUCCAUCCAUAUUAACGUAGAUCAUGUAGAUAGGAACGCUAUUAAUGGCGCCAUCACCGGUAUGGAAGGGAUCAGUGAACAGUCUGACGGUUUGGAGAAUCCCAGUCAUGCAAUAGACAAUGGAGGAAUUGACAUUAUAGAUGCCGAUGGCCUGAAUAUGACAAGGGCACGCGUCGCCGAUAGGAGUCGGUCACGUGAUCAUGAAUACACGAAUGGCACCCAGAGCGAGAAGCAAUCCACGUGAAAAUACAGCGAAACGCUACAAAUUAGUUUUAAGAAUAAAUAACAAGGAAACUAUAUAAAAGAACUAAGAAUGAGAAUGUUCUGGUAAGAUCAGUAUAAUGAGUACAUGCAUACUCAGAUUGUUGUUGAAAUGUUGAUGUAAUGAGGGACACGUGAUAAAUUGCAUAUUUGCAAAUGGAAUCCGAAGCGGUGUUCUCCUAAACAUCUUUGAUAAAUAUAGCUGGAACGAACGCUUAAUGGAGUUUUCUGGAGUAUGCACAAAAUAAAAGUUCAUUUUAAUGUGUAGUAUCUUUUGAUUAGGUAUCUUUCACUUUUAAAGGUCAAGACCACCCCAGAAAAAUGUUGAUUGGAGUCAAUAGAUAAAAAUAAAAAAAGAAUAAGGCUGAAAAUUUCAUCAAAAUCGGAUGUAUAAUAACAAAGUUAUGACAUAAAGUUUCGCUUAUUUUAUUUUCAAAUUUGACAAUAAAGAACAGCUUGACUGAACUAUAAAAUGGAGGAAUAAAACUUGCUUCACCUUCCAACGAGGAGAAAAAUAGAAUAUUCCAUAUUUCAUAAAAAAAUAAGAUACAAAAGAAAUAGUGAGUGGAGUGAGUGAUGUCAUCAGUCCCCUCAUUUGCAUACUCAUGACUGCUUUGUGAAAAUAAGCAAAACUUUAAAAUGUCAUAACUUUCUUAUUAUUACAUCCGAUUUUGAUGAAAUUUUCAAUGUUAUGCUUGUUGGAUUUUUAUAAUUCUGUUGAAAUCAACUGUUUGUUAGGGGUGGACUUGUCCCUUAACUAUCUAAAAGAUUCAGCCUAAAUUAUAUUACUCAUUCACGCAUUUAAAUUAACAUAGACCAACGAGUUUUACCAACGCGCUCGAUUUAAACAAAAUAUUUGUGCGGACAAAGGACAAUGCGGGAUGAAAGUUAUUCACUUCGCUCUAACAAGAUGGUAUUUUAUAUGAUAUACACAUGCAUAAAUAAGUUCAUAUAUACAUAUCUAUGUUUACACCCACACUCGCAGAUGUAUAUAUAUUAUGAUAUACGCUCUAAAAACAAAUUAUGAGUAGGGGUAAACCUCGGUGUAAUGGUCCACCUGCACUCCCCUAAUUAGUUAUAUCGAGAGGAGAGACCUGCGGGUCUUAGUGAUUCAGUUCGCUUUUCACCUCCCAGGCACAGGUGACGCCAAACAAAUAAUAAUAAUAAUAAUAUUCAAAGUUACUCAAAUUUUUGACGUUCCUUACGUCUCCAUUUGGAGUGAAUAACAAUGAUCAGAUCAAUCAAUAUUCAAGAGUCAUUACGGAGAUUUAAUCGCAAUUUUCUACAGAAAAUGUACAUUUUAAAAAAAAAUUCAUGUUAAUAGAGAAUGAAGAGAUAAAAGGAUAGGAGGAGAAUAGGCGGAUUUAGAAUGAAUAUAAUUCAUUGUGAUAUUUGAAGAAAGGAAUACAACGCAUAAUUAAUUUUAUAUUUUUUGUAGUAGCGUAGACCUAAACCAUAUUUAUACUUUAUAAAGUGAAAUAUACUAAUUGUAAAAAUAAAAAAAAUCAUAACAAUGUAGGAUAAUCAUAAAAAAGAAUCAUACUCAUGCUUAGUAUUUAGUGCUUUUAGUAUUUGUCUCAUCUUAUACCAUAUGACAAUGAUUCUUUAAUCAAAUCGAAAAAAAGCUUCAAAGAAAUAAGUAACAAUUAAGCAAUAACCUUGUAAAAGCUUUCUUUUGUGUGUUUUCGGGCCUACAGCAGUGGCAUACUUAGGAUUUUCCACAGGGGGGCAAAUUCGUCCGCCAAAAAAUUUGACAUGCAAAAAAAAAAGGUCAAAUAAAGGAUUUCUAACCAGAAAAAAUAUUCAC